Molecule: ribosomal RNA, 566 nt
Filed under: Bacillus sp. CH441c_13D
Lineage: Bacteria; Bacillati; Bacillota; Bacilli; Caryophanales; Bacillaceae
Description: bacterial SSU rRNA
Rfam family: Bacterial small subunit ribosomal RNA
Source: RNAcentral
CAGUCGAGCGGACAGAUGGGAGCUUGCUCCCUGAAGUCAGCGGCGGACGGGUGAGUAACACGUGGGCAACCUGCCUGUAAGACUGGGAUAACUUCGGGAAACCGGAGCUAAUACCGGAUAAUGCUUUUGGACUCAUGUCCUUAAGCUGAAAGAUGGUUUCGGCUAUCACUUACAGAUGGGCCCGCGGCGCAUUAGCUAGUUGGUGAGGUAACGGCUCACCAAGGCAACGAUGCGUAGCCGACCUGAGAGGGUGAUCGGCCACACUGGGACUGAGACACGGCCCAGACUCCUACGGGAGGCAGCAGUAGGGAAUCUUCCGCAAUGGACGAAAGUCUGACGGAGCAACGCCGCGUGAGUGAUGAAGGUUUUCGGAUCGUAAAACUCUGUUGUUAGGGAAGAACAAGUAUCGGAGUAACUGCCGGUACCUUGACGGUACCUAACCAGAAAGCCACGGCUAACUACGUGCCAGCAGCCGCGGUAAUACGUANGUGGCAAGCGUUGUCCGGAAUUAUUGGGCGUAAAGCGCGCGCAGGCGGUCCUUUAAGUCUGAUGUGAAAGCCCACGGC